RNAcentral lists this ribosomal RNA (359 nucleotides) under uncultured Glomeromycotina. RNAcentral's name for it is "LSU rRNA". The record is from RNAcentral. Lineage: Eukaryota; Fungi; Glomeromycota.
UUUUGAAAGGGAAACGAUUGAAGCCAGUCGUACCUGCGGGUAAUCAGCCUUUUGGGUGUGAUUAUGUGGAGCGUGAGGAGCUAAUCGCCUUCAUCUUUGCAUAUUCGUGCACUUUGGGUGUACUUGCUCGUGUGGUAGGUUAACAUCAAUUUUGAUCGUCAUAAAAUGACUGGGGGAAUGUAGCUUCGAUCUCGUAUUGAAGUGUUAUAGCCUUUGGUAGAUGUGAUGAUUAGGAUUGAGGAUUGCAACGGAUACCCUUCGGGGCUACCUGUCUGAUCUCUGAGAGUUGCUCUGGUGCUGAAAGCGUGCUUAUGGUAUCAAAGUUGACGUUCAACAGGUUAGAAUGGGAUAAGUUCGUU